Molecule: long non-coding RNA, 634 nt
Filed under: Gallus gallus (chicken)
Lineage: Eukaryota; Metazoa; Chordata; Aves; Galliformes; Phasianidae
Source: RNAcentral
CUUAAAGCAGUGUUUCAGUCAUGUCCUGAACCAUUCAGCCUGCCGUGGUUUCAGUCAUCCUGCUGUGUUCAGACAGGGCUGGCAUGGGGCAGAGGUGGGCUUUUACACAACAGCUGUGAAAUUCCCGGGCAAAGUAAACUGACAAAAACCCUUUCUUCUGUUAGAGCAGCUAGAAAAUAAAAGCUCAAUCCAAUGUUCACUUUCAGUAUUAUUCCUGUUCCCCCUCCUCCAAGUGGAAGUGUUGCUAUCUGGGAGUGGUGUCUGGUAUGCGGGUGCUCAGGAUGACCGUCAGAUCUGUACGUGAAUCCUACCCCUGACUCAUGCUCUGUGACUCACCUGAGUCUAUGGAUAAGAAUUAAAGGAUCAUUUAUGCUAGUUCUUCCCGAGAGCCAUGUGGUGGAUAGUCCUGGACACCUGGCAUCUCUUAUGCCUCAGUUCUUCAACCACAUCCAGAGGAGUCCAAAUGAAUGAAAGUAUCUGAGAGCAGCUGCUCAGAAGAGGAAGGGCAUCAUGCUGAUCCCGACUGUGUCAAUUUGGGCAUCCUUUUCUGCCACUUCAACUUUCAAAAUCAAAUUGUUAUAAUCAAGAUGCAGAACAAGGAUCCAACGAGGGGCCAGCCAAGCUUAAUCUGCAG